ACCGCGAUAGUUCAGCUGGUAGAGCAUCUGCCCGGUAUGCGGAUGGUAGCCGGUUCGAUUCCGGCUCGCGGCG
Molecule: transfer RNA, 73 nt
Filed under: Fasciola gigantica
Lineage: Eukaryota; Metazoa; Platyhelminthes; Trematoda; Plagiorchiida; Fasciolidae
Rfam family: tRNA
About the family: Transfer RNA (tRNA) molecules are approximately 80 nucleotides in length. Their secondary structure includes four short double-helical elements and three loops (D, anti-codon, and T loops).
Source: Rfam by way of RNAcentral